This 371-nucleotide ribosomal RNA is filed under the name uncultured organism. RNAcentral describes it as "partial 16S ribosomal RNA". It matches the Rfam family "Bacterial small subunit ribosomal RNA", at positions 527 to 896 of the family's 1533-position model. The record is from RNAcentral.
GUAGGUGGCAAGCGUUGUCCGGAAUUAUUGGGCGUAAAGCGCGCGCAGGCGGUUCUUUAAGUCUGAUGUGAAAGCCCACGGCUCAACCGUGGAGGGUCAUUGGAAACUGGAGAACUUGAGUACAGAAGAGGAAAGCGGAAUUCCACGUGUAGCGGUGAAAUGCGUAGAGAUGUGGAGGAACACCAGUGGCGAAGGCGGCUUUCUGGUCUGUAACUGACGCUGAGGCGCGAGAGCGUGGGGGAGCAAACAGGAUUAGAUACCCUGGUAGUCCACGCCGUAAACGAUGAGUGCUAAGUGUUAGGGGGUUUCCGCCCCUUAGUGCUGCAGCUAACGCAUUAAGCACUCCGCCUGGGAGUACGGCCGCAAGGCUG